AUUGAACGCUGGCGGCAUGCCUUACACAUGCAAGUCGAACGGCAGCGGGGGAGAAGCUUGCUUUUCCUGCCGGCGAGUGGCGAACGGGUGAGUAAUACAUCGGAACGUGCCCUGUAGUGGGGGAUAACUAGUCGAAAGAUUAGCUAAUACCGCAUACGACCUGAGGGUGAAAGUGGGGGACCGCAAGGCCUCAUGCUAUAGGAGCGGCCGAUGUCUGACUAGCUAGUUGGUGGGGUAAAGGCCUACCAAGGCGACGAUCAGUAGCUGGUCUGAGAGGACGAUCAGCCACACUGGGAAUGAGACACGGCCCAGACUCCUACGGGAGGCAGCAGUGGGGAAUUUUGGACAAUGGGCGAAAGCCUGAUCCAGCAAUGCCGCGUGUGUGAAGAAGGCCUUCGGGUUGUAAAGCACUUUUGUCCGGAAAGAAAUGGCUCUGGUUAAUACCUGGGGUCGAUGACGGUACCGGAAGAAUAAGGACCGGCUAACUACGUGCCAGCAGCCGCGGUAA
RNAcentral lists this ribosomal RNA (508 nucleotides) under uncultured bacterium. RNAcentral describes it as "partial 16S ribosomal RNA". It matches the Rfam family "Bacterial small subunit ribosomal RNA", at positions 30 to 523 of the family's 1533-position model. The record is from RNAcentral.